Molecule: ribosomal RNA, 504 nt
Filed under: uncultured bacterium
Lineage: Bacteria
Description: bacterial SSU rRNA
Rfam family: Bacterial small subunit ribosomal RNA
Source: RNAcentral
AGUAGUUUGAUCAGUGGCUCAGAUUAGAACGCUGGCGGAAUGCUUUACACAUGCAAGUCGAACGGCAGCACGGGGCAACCUGGUGGCGAGUGGCGAACGGGUGAGUAAUACAUCGGAACGUGCCCAAUCGUGGGGAUAACGUAGCGAAAGUUACGCUAAUACCGCAUACGAUCUACGGAUGAAAGCGGGGGAUCGCAAGACCUCGCGCGAGUGGAGCGGCCGAUGUCAGAUUAGGUAGUUGGUGGGGUAAAGGCUCACCAAGCCAACGAUCUGUAGCUGGUCUGAGAGGACGACCAGCCACACUGGAACUGAGACACGGUCCAGACUCCUACGGGAGGCAGCAGUGGGGAAUUUUGGACAAUGGGCGCAAGCCUGAUCCAGCCAUUCCGCGUGCAGGAUGAAGGCCUUCGGGUUGUAAACUGCUUUUGUACGGAACGAAACGGCGAGCUCUAAUACAGUUUGCUAAUGACGGUACCGUAAGAAUAAGCACCGGCUAACUACGUG